This is a long non-coding RNA of Camelina sativa (false flax), 550 nucleotides long. RefSeq lists it as uncharacterized. The record is from RefSeq and is a predicted model, not a curated record. Lineage: Eukaryota; Viridiplantae; Streptophyta; Magnoliopsida; Brassicales; Brassicaceae.
CCUAUAUGUUGUCUUGCCUUGUUUAAAUCAUGCAGUUUCUUUUCCCAAAUUCGACUUCUGAGAUAUUAACUUUAUAAAUACCUAAAUUUCUCUCAUUCUCUCAUCAAUAUCCAAGCAAAAGAAGAAGACUGGUGUCAACAUAGUUUCUGAAGAAGGAAAAGAAAAACCGAAUACGAUGGAAAAACUCAAAUCUUUUUUCCAUAAGAAUGAACCUAAUCAUCACAAAGAAGACUCAAGUCAGACUUCGCCAUAUUUAACCAAAGCUUUAAACGAGGACCUAUCAUUUGGUCUGUUCAAAAUCCAGCAGAAGUUGGACCAGAGAAAGUUUAUCCAGCAGCAGUUGGAUCAGAAAAAGUUUAUCCUUCGGAAAAAAAUUGAUGAUCUUCAAGUCAAAGAAAAGCGGAUGAAGAAACUAAUGGAGAAGAGCAAAGAUGUGAACAGCAAGACAUUUCUUUAGCAUAUGCUUGACAAGGAAACAAAAGGAACAAAUUCAUGAUGUACACCAAUUUGAAUACAUGUUUAUGCUUUGAGAUAUCAAGUUUAUAUUGUU